GUGUGUUUGCAGGACAGCGCGCUAGCCUUUUGGAAGCACGGACUAGGAGGAAGAAGCCUGUGCAAGAAUGAGGUGACCCAGGAGAUAACAGACAAGAGCCGUGUAUUCAAGGUCUUGGGGACAAGCAGGGACAUCAUCCUGCAGAGUACGCCCACAGAGGACCCCUCUGCAGCCAGCAACCUCUACAUCCUCACUGGCCAUGAGAGCAGCUAUUGAGGAAGACAGACAGCAAGGGAAGCCAGUGGACAAAACGCUAACAGAGCAAGAUGGAGCCCUAACCACGUGGCGUAACGUUUGACUCAGAUCUGGCCUGGGUGACUAGUCGUCAGCCUCCAGCCUCCAUGUUGUCUGAGACGUGGAUGGGGAUGGAUGAGCACAGUACAGCACACAGUGUACCCCACAAACAGCCUCUCUGCUGGGGGUGUACAGCAGGCAGCGAUCACAUUCUCCUCAGAGUAACACAGUGUAGCUGAGAGCCCCCUCAGCGAGCCCCCAAGUUGGUCUUCGGAGGAGCUCCCAGUGUGUGGGUCUAUGCUCAGCGGUGUGUUGAGCCGACCGGGGAGUGUGGCUUAACCUGACACUGUAUUCCCCCCCCUCUCGUUUCUAUACAAUGCCCCUCUGUGGGGCUUAAAGGGCAGCUUGUGAGGUGGCGUGACAUGAGGCCUUGAAGAGGCGCUAGAGGAAGGUGUGGUGCUGGACAACACCCUACCUGGACAUGACCAAGAGACGAGCCAGCAAACACACUCAAGACCGGGACACUGUUGGGGAAAGUUGCGAAGAAGUGUGUACUCAGCUCUUGGGAUUUUCCUACUUCUUUUUCUUUCAAUGGUUUGCCAGUGGGGGAAAAAAACCCUCCUGGCUAAUGUUGCACUCAGGCAAGCCGAGCGUAAAAUCUGGAGUGAACUAUCGCUGGUUAUACACACCGAGCCCCCGAGCCCAGCUCAGCCACGGCGUGACCAUCAGUCAUCCGAUCUUUCAUCAGCCCAUGCCAAAGUGUCACCAGCAUAUCUCUCUCCCCCAACUCGCCGCCAGUAAUGGAGGAAAGAGUUGGCAUGGGAGUAAGACCAGCAUUACAGUACACUAACCAUAAAACAAUAUCACGCUUGCUCCAGUGACUCCCACACACCAUAUUUAUGAGCUCUGCGAUUAUUUUCCAGGGCUAUCUCUGGAAAGGUGUGAGAACCCCGGGCAUGGGUCACGAUGAACAUGCCGGUGGCUCCAAUAAAAGUGACUACUGCUCAUACCUCGAAUGCUGGAAGGCCGCGAGGGUGGACGGCCGAGAAUGUUGGAUGAUGAAGUAGCAGAGUGUUUUAGGUGUGUGUGUGUGUGUGUGUGUGUGUGUGUGCGUGUGCGUGUGCGUGUGCGUGUGCGUGUGCGCGUGCGCGUGCGCGUGCGCAUGCGUACGUUUUGGGAGGUGUGUGCGCGUGUGUGUGUGUCAGAGAGAGAGAGAGGGCAGGGAAGGGAGGAGGGAUUUUCCUCUGUUUGCACUGUGAGCUCAUUUGUCAUGGGGUAGACCGGCCAGCUAGCCACCUAUGACAUCACUCCUUACUUUGGGAAAGGGGGUGUGGGGGGAUACAACAUUCCCUUUGU
Long non-coding RNA from Engraulis encrasicolus (European anchovy), 1590 nucleotides. RefSeq lists it as uncharacterized. The transcript has 3 exons. NCBI's taxonomy places the organism in Eukaryota, Metazoa, Chordata, Actinopteri, Clupeiformes, Engraulidae. The record is from RefSeq and is a predicted model, not a curated record.